CCUACGGGUGGCAGCAGUGGGGAAUAUUGGACAAUGGGGGAAACCCUUAUCCAGCGACGCCGCGUGAGGGAAGAAGGUUUUCGGAUUGUAAACCUCUGUCAGUCGGGACGAUAAUGACGGUACCCACGGAGGAAGCCACGGCUAACUACGUGCCAGCAGCCGCGGUAAUACGUAGGUGGCAAGCGUUGGCCGGAAGUACUGGGUGUAAAGGGAGCGUAGGCGGGAUCUCAAGUCAGAAGUGAAAAUUAUGGGCUCAACUCAUAACGUGCUUUGGAAACUGAUAUUCUUGAGUGAAGUAGAGGCAAGCGGAAUUCCUAGUGUAGCGGUGAAAUGCGUAGAUAUCACGAAGAACCCCGAUUGCGAAGGCAGCUUACUAAACUGUGACUGACAUUGAUGCUCGAAAGUGUGGGUAGCAAACAGGAUUAGAUACCCGUGUAGUC
This 440-nucleotide ribosomal RNA is filed under the name uncultured bacterium. RNAcentral's name for it is "partial 16S ribosomal RNA". It matches the Rfam family "Bacterial small subunit ribosomal RNA", at positions 338 to 795 of the family's 1533-position model. The record is from RNAcentral.